Molecule: ribosomal RNA, 724 nt
Filed under: Saccharomyces sp. 798_2_CP03
Lineage: Eukaryota; Fungi; Ascomycota; Saccharomycetes; Saccharomycetales; Saccharomycetaceae
Description: eukaryotic LSU rRNA
Rfam family: Eukaryotic large subunit ribosomal RNA
Source: RNAcentral
UUCCUUGGAACAGGACGUCAUAGAGGGUGAGAAUCCCGUAUGAUGAGGAGUGCAGUUCUAUGUAAAGUCCCUUCGAAGAGUCGAGUUGUUUGGGAAUGCAGCUCUAAGUGGGUGGUAAAUUCCAUCUAAAGCUAAAUAUUGGCGAGAGACCGAUAGCGAACAAGUACAGUGAUGGAAAGAUGAAAAGAACUUUGAAAAGAGAGUGAAAAAGUACGUGAAAUUGUUGAAAGGGAAGGGCAUUUGAUCAGACAUGGUGUUUUGCGCCCUCCGCUCCUUGUGGGUGGGGGACUCUCGCUUCUCACUGGGCCAACAUCAGUUUUGGCGGCAGGAUAAAUCUACAGGAACGUGGCUUGCUUCGGGAAGUGUUAUAGCCUGUGGGAAUACUGCCAGCCGGGACUGAGGACUGCGACUUUUGUCAAGGAUGUUGGCAUAAUGGUUAUAUGCCGCCCGUCUUGAAACACGGACCAAGGAGUCUAACGUCUAUGCGAGUGUUUGGGUGUAAAACCCGUACGCGUAAUGAAAGUGAACGUAGGUUGGGGCCCUGUCAUGGGGUGCACAAUCGACCGAUCCUGAUGUUUUCAGAUGGAUUUGAGUAAGAGCAUAGCUGUUGGGACCCGAAAGAUGGUGAACUAUGCCUGAAUAGGGUGAAGCCAGAGGAAACUCUGGUGGAGGCUCGUAGCGGUUCUGACGUGCAAAUCGAUCGUCGAAUUUGGGUAUAGGGGCG